CCUACGGGAGGCUGCAGUGGGGAAUAUUGGACAAUGGGGGGAACCCUGAUCCAGCCAUGCCGCGUGUGUGAAGAAGGCCCUCGGGUUGUAAAGCACUUUCAGUGAGGAAGAACGCCUGGUGGUUAAUACCCAUCAGGAAAGACAUCACUCACAGAAGAAGCACCGGCUAACUCCGUGCCAGCAGCCGCGGUAAUACGGAGGGUGCGAGCGUUAAUCGGAAUUACUGGGCGUAAAGCGCGCGUAGGUGGCUUGAUAAGCCGGUUGUGAAAGCCCCGGGCUCAACCUGGGAACGGCAUCCGGAACUGUCAAGCUAGAGUGAAGGAGAGGAAGGUAGAAUUCCCGGUGUAGCGGUGAAAUGCGUAGAGAUCGGGAGGAAUACCAGUGGCGAAGGCGGCCUUCUGGACUGACACUGACACUGAGGUGCGAAAGCGUGGGUAGCAAACAGGAUUAGAUACCCCUGUAGUC
RNAcentral lists this ribosomal RNA (465 nucleotides) under Vreelandella stevensii. RNAcentral's name for it is "partial 16S ribosomal RNA". It matches the Rfam family "Bacterial small subunit ribosomal RNA", at positions 338 to 795 of the family's 1533-position model. Lineage: Bacteria; Pseudomonadati; Pseudomonadota; Gammaproteobacteria; Oceanospirillales; Halomonadaceae. The record is from RNAcentral.